This 85-nucleotide transfer RNA is filed under the name Felis catus (domestic cat). It matches the Rfam family "tRNA". From Rfam's summary of the family: Transfer RNA (tRNA) molecules are approximately 80 nucleotides in length. Their secondary structure includes four short double-helical elements and three loops (D, anti-codon, and T loops). Further hydrogen bonds mediate the characteristic L-shaped molecular structure. tRNAs have two regions of fundamental functional importance: the anti-codon, which is responsible for specific mRNA codon recognition, and the 3' end, to which the tRNAs corresponding amino acid is attached (by aminoacyl-tRNA synthetases). tRNAs cope with the degeneracy of the genetic code in two manners: having more than one tRNA (with a specific anti-codon) for a particular amino acid; and 'wobble' base-pairing, i.e. permitting non-standard base-pairing at the 3rd anti-codon position. Lineage: Eukaryota; Metazoa; Chordata; Mammalia; Carnivora; Felidae. The record is from Rfam by way of RNAcentral.
GCCUGUGUGGCUCAGUUGGUUAAGCAUCUGACUUUGGCUCAGGCCAGGAUCUCACGGUUCGUGGGUUCGAGCCCUGCAUUGGGCU